GAUGAACGCUGGCGGCGUGCCUAAUACAUGCAAGUCGAGCGAACGGACGAGAAGCUUGCUUCUCUGAUGUUAGCGGCGGACGGGUGAGUAACACGUGGAUAACCUACCUAUAAGACUGGGAUAACUUCGGGAAACCGUAGCUAAUACCGGAUAAUAUUUUGAACCGCAUGGUUCAAAAGUGAAAGACGGUCUUGCUGUCACUUAUAGAUGGAUCCGCGCUGCAUUAGCUAGUUGGUAAGGUAACGGCUUACCAAGGCAACGAUGCAUAGCCGACCUGAGAGGGUGAUCGGCCACACUGGAACGGAGACACGGUCCAGACUCCUACGGGAGGCAGCAGUAGGGAAUCUUCCGCAAUGGGCGAAAGCCUGACGGAGCAACGCCGCGUGAGUGAUGAAGGUCUUCGGAUCGUAAAACUCUGUUAUUAGGGAAGAACAGAUGUGUAAGUAACUGUGCACAUCUUGACGGUACCUAAUCAGAAAGCCACGGCUAACUACGUG
RNAcentral lists this ribosomal RNA (497 nucleotides) under uncultured bacterium. RNAcentral's name for it is "partial 16S ribosomal RNA". It matches the Rfam family "Bacterial small subunit ribosomal RNA", at positions 28 to 507 of the family's 1533-position model. The record is from RNAcentral.